RNAcentral lists this ribosomal RNA (1668 nucleotides) under metagenome. Its description in RNAcentral is "bacterial LSU rRNA". It matches the Rfam family "Bacterial large subunit ribosomal RNA", at positions 1228 to 2925 of the family's 2925-position model. The record is from RNAcentral.
UUAGAGGAGCAUUCUUAAGUCGACGAAGCUGUACUGUAAGGAGCAGUGGAGAGUUAAGAAGAGAGAAUGCCGGAAUGAGUAGCGAGAUUUAAGUGAGAAUCUUAAAGGCCGAAUAUCUAAGGUUUCCAGGGUAAAGCUGAUCUUCCCUGGGUAAGUCGGGGCCUAAGGCGAGGGCGAGAGCCGUAGUCGAUGGAUAACAGGUUGAAAUUCCUGUACUGCUUAUGGACAGAACUGUGGGGACGCAGAAGGAGAGCACGAGCCGGAAAUGGAAAAGCCGGUACAAGCGUAUAGCAGUCAUGCAGGCAAAACCGCAUGAAAAAUGUAAAGCGUUAUGUGGAUCGAACAUUAGUAGAGAAGCGUGUGAGCCAGCUGCCAAGAAAAGCCGCUAUUGUUUCAUAAGUACCCGUACCGUAAACCGACACAGGUGGAUGAGGAGAGAAUCCUAAGGCCGGCGGGAGAAGUGUUGUUAAGGAACUCGGCAAAAUGACUCCGUAACUUCGGGAGAAGGAGUGCCACAGAGAUGUGGCCGCAGAGAAAUGGCCCAAGCAACUGUUUAGCAAAAACACAGGUCUAUGCAAAACCGAAAGGUGAGGUAUAUGGGCUGACGCCUGCCCGGUGCUGGAAGGUUAAGAGGAGAGGUUAGAGCAAUCGAAGCUUUGAAUUUAAGCCCCAGUAAACGGCGGCCGUAACAAUAAUGGUCCUAAGGUAGCGAAAUUCCUUGUCGGGUAAGUUCCGACCCGCACGAAAGGCGUAAUGAUUUGGGCACUGUCUCAACAACACACCCGGUGAAAUUGAAAUACCAGUGAAGAUGCUGGUUACCUGCGCCAGGACGGAAAGACCCCAUGGAGCUUUACUCCAGUUUGAUACUGGGAUUCGGUACUGUCUGUACAGGAUAGGUGGGAGGCUAGGAAAUGGUGACGCCAGUUGCCAUGGAGCCAACCUUGGGAUACCACCCUUACAGUACUGGGUUUCUAACCUGCAGCCGUAACCCGGCUGGGGGACAAUGUCUGACGGGGAGUUUGACUGGGGCGGUCGCCUCCGAAAGAGUAUCGGAGGCGCUCAAAGGUUCCCUCAGAACGGUUGGAAACCGUUCGAAGAGUGCAAAGGCAGAAGGGAGCUUGACUGCGACACCGACGGGUGGAGCAGAUACGAAAGUAGGACUUAGUGAUCCGGUGGUAUAAAGUGGGAUUGCCAUCGCUCAACGGAUAAAAGCUACCCUGGGAUAACAGGCUUAUCACUCCCAAGAGUUCACAUCGACGGAGUGGUUUGGCACCUCGAUGUCGGCUCAUCGCAUCCUGGAGCUGUAGCAGGUUCCAAGGGUUGGGCUGUUCGCCCAUUAAAGCGGUACGCGAGCUGGGUUCAGAACGUCGUGAGACAGUUCGGUCCCUAUCCGGCGUGGGCGUAGGAUAUUUGAGAGGAGCUGUCCUUAGUACGAGAGGACCGGGAUGGACAAACCUCUGGUGUAUCUGUUGUUUUACCAAAGGCAUGGCAGAGUAGCCAAGUUUGGCAGGGAUAAACGCUGAAGGCAUCUAAGCGUGAAGCCCCCCUCAAGAUAAGAUAUCCCAUCUUCGGAGUAAGACCCCUUGAAGACUACAAGGUUGAUAGGCUUCGGGUGUAAGUGUGGUAACGCACUCAGCUGAGAAGUACUAAUAGUUCGAGGACUUAUCA